GACGAACGCUGGCGGCGUGCUUAACACAUGCAAGUCAGGGGGCGGGGUAACCCGUCACCGGCGAACGGGUGCGGAACACGUGAGCGACCUGCCCUGGUGUGGGGGAUAGCCGGCCCAACGGCCGGGUAAUACCGCAUACGGCGCCCGCUUGGAAGCGGGAGGCGAAACUCGCACGAGGCGCUAGGAGGGGCUCGCGGCCUAUCAGCUAGUUGGUGCGGUAACGGCGCACCAAGGCGAUGACGGGUAGCUGGUCUGAGAGGAUGGCCAGCCACAUUGGGACUGAGAGACGGCCCAGACUCCUACGGGAGGCAGCAGUGGGGAAUAUUGCGCAAUGGGCGAAAGCCUGACGCAGCGACGCCGCGUGGAGGAUGAGGCCCUUCGGGGUGUAAACUCCUGUUGCCCGGGACGAAUGCCCUGCAUCGGCGGGGUUGACGGUACCGGGUGAGGAAGCACCGGCUAACUCUGUG
This 467-nucleotide ribosomal RNA is filed under the name uncultured bacterium. RNAcentral describes it as "partial 16S ribosomal RNA". It matches the Rfam family "Bacterial small subunit ribosomal RNA", at positions 28 to 507 of the family's 1533-position model. The record is from RNAcentral.